RNAcentral lists this ribosomal RNA (730 nucleotides) under uncultured Actinomycetes bacterium. RNAcentral describes it as "bacterial SSU rRNA". It matches the Rfam family "Bacterial small subunit ribosomal RNA", at positions 93 to 838 of the family's 1533-position model. Lineage: Bacteria; Bacillati; Actinomycetota; Actinomycetes. The record is from RNAcentral.
GAGUGGCGAACGGGUGAGUAACACGUGGGUGAUCUGCCCUGCACUUCGGGAUAAGCCUGGGAAACUGGGUCUAAUACCGGAUAGGAGCCAUUUUUAGUGUGAUGGUUGGAAAGUUUUUUCGGUGUAGGAUGAGCUCGCGGCCUAUCAGCUUGUUGGUGGGGUAAUGGCCUACCAAGGCGGCGACGGGUAGCCGGCCUGAGAGGGUGGACGGCCACAUUGGGACUGAGAUACGGCCCAGACUCCUACGGGAGGCAGCAGUGGGGAAUAUUGCACAAUGGGCGCAAGCCUGAUGCAGCGACGCCGCGUGGGGGAUGACGGCCUUCGGGUUGUAAACUCCUUUCGCUAGGGACGAAGCUUUUUGUGACGGUACCUAGAUAAGAAGCACCGGCUAACUACGUGCCAGCAGCCGCGGUAAUACGUAGGGUGCGAGCGUUGUCCGGAAUUACUGGGCGUAAAGGGCUCGUAGGUGGUUUGUCGCGUCGUCUGUGAAAUUCCGGGGCUUAACUCCGGGCGUGCAGGCGAUACGGGCAUAACUUGAGUACUGUAGGGGUAACUGGAAUUCCUGGUGUAGCGGUGAAAUGCGCAGAUAUCAGGAGGAACACCGAUGGCGAAGGCAGGUUACUGGGCAGUUACUGACGCUGAGGAGCGAAAGCAUGGGUAGCGAACAGGAUUAGAUACCCUGGUAGUCCAUGCCGUAAACGGUGGGCGCUAGGUGUGAGGGUCUUUUCAC